Molecule: long non-coding RNA, 500 nt
Filed under: Homo sapiens (human)
Lineage: Eukaryota; Metazoa; Chordata; Mammalia; Primates; Hominidae
Description: HSALNT0104286
Source: RNAcentral
CUAAAUUCCAGAUGGGUGUGAGGAGGGCCGUCGUUCACCCUCCUCCACCUUGUCCCCUGCACUGGGAGGCAACCACAACAGGCACGGCCCAUGCUCCUGCACCACCUGGCUUCUGCUUGGGUGUGGAUGAUAACAGGCACCUGCAGGAGAUGGGAGCAUGCGGGGAGAAGUAACUCAGGGUUUUCAUUUCCCUCACUCCCUCUGGACAGCUCUGUGGUUCCGUAAUCAUUGCCGUCCUCUACCUACAGCCACAGGCAUGUGGGUCUGCCCCUAGUGAAAGCUACAGAUUUCCUUGGGUUCUGGAAACUGCUCCCUUCGUUGCUCUUUCAAGCUUCAAGAUGAAAACAGUUUCCUGCCAGGAAUAAUCCCAGGGAGCUUCAGCGCCCUUUGUGGCUUUCUUAGCCCUGCCGGCACCUGUGUAGAAGGUGCCAUCUCAGGCCAGCGCGGUGGCUCAAACGUGUAAUCUCAGCACCUUGAGAGGCUGAGGCCAGAGGAUCACC